RNAcentral lists this ribosomal RNA (443 nucleotides) under uncultured bacterium. RNAcentral describes it as "partial 16S ribosomal RNA". It matches the Rfam family "Bacterial small subunit ribosomal RNA", at positions 338 to 795 of the family's 1533-position model. The record is from RNAcentral.
CCUACGGGAGGCAGCAGUGGGGAAUAUUGGGCAAUGGAGGCAACUCUGACCCAGCAACGCCGCGUGAAUGAUGAAGGUCUUCGGAUUUUAAAGUUCUGUGAUGGGGGGUGAACACAAUGACGGUACACCAAUAGCAAGCCACGGCUAACUACGGGCCAGCAGCCGCGGUAAUACGUAGGGGGCAAGCGUUAUCCGGAGUGACUGGGCGUAAAGGGUGCGUAGGGGGUUUAGUAAGUUGGCGGUGUAAUUCCGGGGCUCAACCUUGGCGCUACAGCCAAAACUAGUGGACUAGAGUGCAGGAGGGGAAAGUGGAAUUCAUAGUGUAGCGGUGGAAUGCGUAGAUAUUAGGAGGAACAUCAGGGGCGAAGGCGACUGACUGGACUGUAACUGACACUGAGGCACGAAAGCGUGGGGAGCAAACAGGAUUAGAUACCCUAGUAGUC